This 292-nucleotide ribosomal RNA is filed under the name uncultured bacterium. Its description in RNAcentral is "partial 16S ribosomal RNA". It matches the Rfam family "Bacterial small subunit ribosomal RNA", at positions 505 to 796 of the family's 1533-position model. The record is from RNAcentral.
GUGCCAGCCGCCGCGGUAAGACGGAGGAGGCUAGCGUUGUUCGGAAUUACUGGGCGUAAAGCGCGCGCGGGCGGUUAUGCAAGUCAGGGGUGAAAGCCCGAGGCUCAACCUCGGAACGGCCUUUGCGACUGCAUGACUGGAGACCGGGAGAGGAGAGUGGAAUUCCCAGUGUAGAGGUGAAAUUCGUAGAUAUUGGGAAGAACACCAGUGGCGAAGGCGGCUCUCUGGCCCGGACCUGACGCUGAGGCGCGAAAGCGUGGGGAGCAAACAGGAUUAGAUACCCCUGUAGUCC